This 200-nucleotide unclassified non-coding RNA is filed under the name Russula sp. RNAcentral describes it as "partial internal transcribed spacer 2". The record is from RNAcentral. Lineage: Eukaryota; Fungi; Basidiomycota; Agaricomycetes; Russulales; Russulaceae.
UUAAGUUCAGCGGGUAGUCUCACCCGAUUUGAGGUCAAGGUUCGUGGGUCGAGCAAACUCGAACGAUGUCUCUGAUAGUGAGACGGUUGGAAGCGGGUUCCCAAGGAACAGAGCAAAUCCCAAGACGUAGAAACGACUUAUCACGCCUGGGGAUCGGCAAAGGGGACCCCACUAAUACAUUUAAGAGGAGCCGGCUUUAC